Molecule: long non-coding RNA, 672 nt
Organism: Zophobas morio
Lineage: Eukaryota; Metazoa; Arthropoda; Insecta; Coleoptera; Tenebrionidae
Exons: 2
Source: RefSeq, a predicted model, not a curated record
UGUCAAAGAGGUUCUACCCAAAACACGCCCACAUGGCCAUCCUAAUAUCAAGAUUUUUCAAAAUUUCUAUAACAAAAAAGAUGAAAAAACCAAUAAAAUUUCAGGAGCAUAGUGUUAAGAGUUCUGUAGAUGAUUAUGAGAUCUCUUGAAACAACAGAAUGUUUAAUAAAGAUUUUUAACUUUCCUAAUAGUAAAAUUACAAUUAUUACUAAACAGUAAGUUGAAGUAAGUUUUAAAUUAAGAAAAUGCAACUAACACCGAAAGAAAAAUGAAAGUUACUGAAAAUAAAAAACUUUAUUGCAGUACCUACAUACACUUUCUACAUCUAAUUUUGUUUAUUGAUCACAUUCAUUUACUUGAAAAAGUAUCAGGCCUAUGAAUCGUCGUCUGGAAACAGCUAACCACACACCAACCUUCAUUGCGUGUGAUGGUGUUUCUUCAAAAGCCCUAACAGAUGAAACCAGGCUUCAUCAGAAAAGAACGACAAAUCGAGAAUCCCGUUAUCGUCCAUAUCAGCUUGAAACCAACUACAAUACCCAACGCGGCAAGGAAAAUCAGCUGGUUGCAGCUCCUGAACCAACAAAAUCUUGUAUGGAUGCAUAUGUAACUUCUCUUUUACGAUUUUCUGACAUGGGCUGUAUGGUACUCCGGACAGUAAAGAUUUUUGACAAA